CCCGCUGAACUUAAGCAUAUCAAUAAGCGGAGGAAAAGAAACUAACAAGGAUUCCCCUAGUAACUGCGAGUGAAGCGGGAAAAGCUCAAAUUUAAAAUCUGAGGGUCUUUGCGGCCUUCCGAGUUGUAAUCUAGAGAAGUGCUAUCCGCGCUGGACCGUGCACAAGUCUCCUGGAAUGGAGCGUCGUAGAGGGUGAGAAUCCCGUCUUUGGCACGGACGCCCAGUGCUUCUGUGAUGCGCUCUCGAAGAGUCGAGUUGUUUGGGAAUGCAGCUCAAAAUGGGUGGUGAACUCCAUCUAAAGCUAAAUAUUGGCGAGAGACCGAUAGCGAACAAGUACCGUGAGGGAAAGAUGAAAAGCACUUUGGAAAGAGAGUGAAACAGUACGUGAAAUUGUUGAAAGGGAAACGCUUGAAGUCAGUCGCGUCGUCCGAGACUCAGCCUCGCCUCGGCUUGGUGUACUUCUCGGACGACGGGUCAGCAUCAAUUUUGCCCCUUGGAUAAUGGCGAGGGAAAUGUGACACCUUUGCGGGUGUGUUAUAGUCUCUAGUCGCAUGCAAGGGUCGGGAUUGAGGAACUCAGCACGCGCCUUCGGGCGUCGGGGUUCGCCCACGAUACGUGCUUAGGAUGUUGGCGUAAUGGCUUUAAACGACCCGUCUUGAAACACGG
Molecule: ribosomal RNA, 666 nt
Filed under: uncultured fungus
Lineage: Eukaryota; Fungi
Description: eukaryotic LSU rRNA
Rfam family: Eukaryotic large subunit ribosomal RNA
Source: RNAcentral